GAUGAAGAACGUAGCGAAAUGCGAUAAGUAAUGUGAAUUGCAGAACUCAGUGAAUCAUCGAGUCUUUGAACGCACAUUGCGCCCCCUGGUAUUCCGGGGGGCAUGCCUGUCCGAGCGUCAUUGCUGCCCUCAAGCACGGCUUGGGUGUUGGGCCUCCGUCCUCCUCCCGGGGGACGGGCCCGAAAGGCAGCGGCGGCACCGCGUCCGGUCCUCGAGCGUAUGGGGCUUCGUCACCCGCUCUUGUAGGCCCGGCCGGCGCUUGCCGACACAUCAAUCUUUUUUCCAGGUUGACCUCGGAUCAGGUAGGGAUACCCGCUGAACUUAAGCAUAUCAAUAAGCGGAGGA
Molecule: unclassified non-coding RNA, 345 nt
Filed under: soil metagenome
Description: partial contains 5.8S ribosomal RNA, internal transcribed spacer 2, and large subunit ribosomal RNA
Rfam family: 5.8S ribosomal RNA (bases 1-120)
Source: RNAcentral